GCAUCUAGGGGUAUGAUUUUCGCUUCGCAUCAAUUGCAAUUGUGAAAGGUCGUGGGUUCAAUUCCCACAGCG
Didymella sp. IMI 355093 is the source of this 72-nucleotide non-coding RNA. Lineage: Eukaryota; Fungi; Ascomycota; Dothideomycetes; Pleosporales; Didymellaceae. The record is from the annotation of a GenBank genome assembly.